CAGGCUAAACUUAUGCAAACUCGAACAGAUAUGUUAGGGGGUGCGGCAGAGCAACAGGGGAAAAACUUUCGACUUGCUCUCAUAAAAUUUAAAAGAAAAUGCAUAGUUUCACUGGAAGCCAUCAACUCAGAUCGCCACGGCGACCGGAACACAACGGAGGGCAUUGUACCCUGCACGUCCAUUCAGGAAUCCGGAACCUUCUCCGCUCCGCGGACCCAGCCCGAACGACACACCACACUCGAGACUCCACCCACAGGAAACUCAAAGCCUGCGCUCAUGAAAGGCGCCGACGGAGGGUCUCUGAAACUGCACUGUACCUGGUCCACGUCCUCUAAACAAAUCAUCAGAAGGCACUGAAACCCUACAGGACAGUAGAUCUCCAGGAACGGGUUUGGGUACCACUAAGCUAGGCUGUCUGAGAACAGCACUUACUGCAUGCAGCUUAGACACUGGUUAAGCCUGCGAAAGGAGAAAGUCUGGAGUCCACAGAUGCAAAAUAAACCUGACGUGUUUUGAUUCUCCUGCGUCUUCACCAUAUGUCAUAUGUCAGUUAUUUUAGAAUUUUCUGAACUGAACAUUCUAAUGCUGAUGUAACGAUCGCUACUGGUAAUUGAAAGCAAUUGAGUUCUA
Anguilla anguilla (European eel) is the source of this 630-nucleotide long non-coding RNA. RefSeq lists it as uncharacterized. The transcript is spliced from 3 exons. The record is from RefSeq and is a predicted model, not a curated record. Lineage: Eukaryota; Metazoa; Chordata; Actinopteri; Anguilliformes; Anguillidae.